UGCUUUUGAAGUUUGAAUGAAUGGGGUC
RNAcentral lists this non-coding RNA (28 nucleotides) under Rattus norvegicus (Norway rat). The record is from RNAcentral. Lineage: Eukaryota; Metazoa; Chordata; Mammalia; Rodentia; Muridae.